This is an RNA transcript of Drosophila serrata, 668 nucleotides long. It is a transcript of the gene named KRR1 small subunit processome component homolog pseudogene, with no coding region annotated. NCBI's taxonomy places the organism in Eukaryota, Metazoa, Arthropoda, Insecta, Diptera, Drosophilidae. The record is from RefSeq and is a predicted model, not a curated record.
AUUAAGUUACGAAAGGUAAUUGCAUUAAAAAAAAAACAAACACUAUAUAGAUGUCGACAUAUACAUAAGUUUUUGCAUGUGUAAAUAUAUUGCCAUACGAUUUUUAUUGACUUCUGUCUUGAAAGCCUUUUAAAUGUUAAUAUUGGGCUAAAUUCGAAUUCUGUAUCAAUUUUAUAAGCUUUUAAACAAAUAAACUUGUAAACGCAGAAGAUGACAAAAACUUCCCAUUUGUUGUAAAUAAGACAACAAAAAUAUAUCAGAUGGUGCUUUAAAUUUUCCAAAGUCAUGUAUAAAAAGCUCGGAUGGAUGCCUUUGCAAUAUACAUAUCUACAAAAAUAUCUAUUUGAGGUUAAUUCAAUGGGCUGAUAUAUAAUUGAAUCAAACUCAACUGGCAACAUCAUCAUCUAAUUCGCAAUUUGUCUUUUGCGAAAAUUUAAAAAUAUGGACAGAUAUUAGUUUGGCAAUUAUUAUAUUAAAUUACUAACUGGAGGGUUUCUGCAGUUACCACCUUUUGCACAAACGCACGCAAAUAUAUUUUCAAGCGGAUCCUGGUUAACUCGACUAGUUAAGAAGAAAAAAUGAUCCGAUCACCAAUAUUCGCUUUCAAAAAUGUCGCGUGCGACCGGGACUAAAAUUGAAUUUAAAUAAGAAAGGAAGCUAACUUCGGC